UAGUUGGUGGGGUAAGGGCUCACCAAGGCGAUGAUAGGUAGCCGGCCUGAGAGGGUGAACGCCCACAAGGGGACUGAGAUACGGCCCUUACUCCUACGGGAGGCAGCAGUGGGGAAUAUUGGACAAUGGGCGAUGUGAGCCUGAUCCAGCAAUUCUGUGUGCACGAGGAAGGUUUUCGGAUUGUAAAGUGCUUUCAGCAGGGAAGAAGGAGAUGACGGUACCUGCAGAAGAAGCGACGGCUAAAUACGUGCCAGCAGCCGCGGUAAUACGUAUGUCGCGAGCGUUAUCCGGAAUUAUUGGGCAUAAAGGGCAUCUAGGCGGCUGAUUAAGUCUGAGGUGAAAACUUUCGGCUCAACCGAGAGCCUGCCUUGGAAACUAAUGCAGCUGGAGUACUGGAGAGGUGGACGGAACUACACGAGUAGAGGUGAAAUUCGUAGAUAUGUGUAGGAAUGCCGAUGAUGAAGAUAGUCCACUGGACAGAAACUGACGCUGAAGUGCGAAAGCUAGGGGAGCGAACAGGAUUAGAUACCCUGGUAGUCCCAGCCGUAAACGAUGAUCACUGGGUGUGGGCAGGGAGACUGUCUGUGCCGAAGCGAAUGCGAUAA
RNAcentral lists this ribosomal RNA (605 nucleotides) under uncultured bacterium. Its description in RNAcentral is "bacterial SSU rRNA". It matches the Rfam family "Bacterial small subunit ribosomal RNA", at positions 246 to 863 of the family's 1533-position model. The record is from RNAcentral.